AACGCUAGCUACAGGCUUAACACAUGCAAGUCGAGGGGAAACGACAUCGAAAGCUUGCUUUUGAUGGGCGUCGACCGGCGCACGGGUGAGUAACGCGUAUCCAACCUGCCCAUCACUUGGGAAUAACCUUGCGAAAGUAAGACUAAUACCCAAUGAGGUCCCACGAAGGCAUCCGAAUGGGAUUAAAGAUUUAUCGGUGAUGGAUGGGGAUGCGUCUGAUUAGCUUGUUGGCGGGGUAACGGCCCACCAAGGCGACGAUCAGUAGGGGUUCUGAGAGGAAGGUCCCCCACAUUGGAGCUGAGACACGGUCCAAACUCCUACGGGAGGCAGCAGUGAGGAAUAUUGGUCAAUGGGCGAGAGCCUGAACCAGCCAAGUAGCGUGCAGGAUGACGGCCCUAUGGGUUGUAAACUGCUUUUAUAAGGGAAUAAAGUGAGCCUCGUGAGGCUUUUUGCAUGUACCUUAUGAAUAAGGACCGGCUAAUUCCGUGCCAGCAGCCGCGGUAAUACGGAAGGUCCGGGCGUUAUCCGGAUUUAUUGGGUUUAAAGGGAGCGUAGGCCGGAGAUUAAGCGUGUUGUGAAAUGUAGACGCUCAACGUCUGCACUGCAGCGCGAACUGGUUUCCUUGAGUACGCACAAAGUGGGCGGAAUUCGUGGUGUAGCGGUGAAAUGCUUAGAUAUCACGAAGAACUCCGAUUG
This 696-nucleotide ribosomal RNA is filed under the name uncultured bacterium. RNAcentral's name for it is "bacterial SSU rRNA". It matches the Rfam family "Bacterial small subunit ribosomal RNA", at positions 32 to 715 of the family's 1533-position model. The record is from RNAcentral.